UACAGAGACUGCAAGCGUUAUUCGGAUUCACUGGGCGUAAAGGGUGCGCAGGCGGUUGGGUGUGUCAGAUGUGAAAUCCCGAGGCUCAACCUCGGAACUGCGCCUGAAACUACUCGACUAGAGUACUGGAGAGGGUAACGGAAUUCACGGUGUAGCAGUGAAAUGCGUAGAUAUCGUGAGGAACACCAGAGGCGAAGGCGGUUACCCGGACAGUUACUGACGCUCAGGCACGAAAGCAUGGGGAGCAAAAGGG
RNAcentral lists this ribosomal RNA (253 nucleotides) under uncultured bacterium. RNAcentral describes it as "partial 16S ribosomal RNA". It matches the Rfam family "Bacterial small subunit ribosomal RNA", at positions 524 to 776 of the family's 1533-position model. The record is from RNAcentral.